RNAcentral lists this ribosomal RNA (441 nucleotides) under uncultured bacterium. RNAcentral describes it as "partial 16S ribosomal RNA". It matches the Rfam family "Bacterial small subunit ribosomal RNA", at positions 338 to 795 of the family's 1533-position model. The record is from RNAcentral.
CCUACGGGAGGCAGCAGUGGGGAAUAUUGCACAAUGGGGGAAACCCUGAUGCAGCGACGCCGCGUGAGUGAAGAAGUAUUUCGGUAUGUAAAGCUCUAUCAGCAGGGACGAAGAAAGACGGUACCUGACUAAGAAGCCCCGGCUAACUACGUGCCAGCAGCCGCGGUAAGACGUAGGGGGCAAGCGUUAUCCGGAUUUACUGGGUGUAAAGGGAGCGUAGACGGCAGUGCAAGUCUGGAGUGAAAGGCGGGGGCUCAACCCCCGGACUGCUCUGGAAACUGUACGGCUGGAGUGCAGGAGAGGUAAGUGGAAUUCCUAGUGUAGCGGUGAAAUGCGUAGAUAUUAGGAGGAACACCAGUGGCGAAGGCGGCUUACUGGACUGUAACUGACGUUGAGGCUCGAAAGCGUGGGGAGCAAACAGGAUUAGAUACCCUAGUAGUC